UGGGGGAUAUUGCACAAUGGGGGCAACCCUGAUGCAGCGACGCCGCGUGAGCGAUGGAGUACUUCGGUAUGUAAAGCUCUGUCAGCAGGGAAGAGAAUGACGGUACCUGACCAAGAAGCCCCGGCUAAAUACGUGCCAGCAGCCGCGGUAAUACGUAUGGGGCAAGCGUUAUCCGGAUUUACUGGGUGUAAAGGGAGCGUAGGCGGCAGGGCAAGCCUGAUGUGAAAGCCCGGGGCUCAACCCCGGGACUGCAUUGGGAACUGCCCCGCUCGAGUGCCGGAGGGGCAGGCGGAAUUCCUAGUGUAGCGGUGAAAUGCGUAGAUAUUAGGAGGAACACCAGUGGCGAAGGCGGCCUGCUGGACGGUGUACUGACGCUGAGGCUCGAAAGCGUGGGGAGCAAACA
Molecule: ribosomal RNA, 403 nt
Filed under: uncultured Lachnospiraceae bacterium
Lineage: Bacteria; Bacillati; Bacillota; Clostridia; Lachnospirales; Lachnospiraceae
Description: bacterial SSU rRNA
Rfam family: Bacterial small subunit ribosomal RNA
Source: RNAcentral